GGUACUACUUUACAAAUACAUCAUCACACGUACAAACUCCUUCCUCUCGUUGGCUCUACUGUGACCGACGUUCUUCGGCGAUGUUUGUUUGACUUUGACAUGAAUUAAAGAAAAUUAAUACUUUGAAUCGCUUUUGAAAGAGAGGAGGGGUAUCUCGUGCUUUUUGAGGCUUUGACAAACACAUUGUCGACAUCACAUCCAGGAAGAUUGGCUUUGGGGUUUGAGUUUCACAAAUUCCUCAGUCAAUUCACCAAGACGUCCCUGUGGAGUCAUUGAGUCUGUUUCGCUGAUUGGAGAGCUAGCUUCCGCAGCUAGUGGGUCCAUGACGAUGUCUUCUGUUUUGUUUGAUCAGCCGUUUAACUGCCACAUUACAAACACGAUUUGGAAACAAUUCAGGUACGUAAACAAACAUUUACAUGAUCGUGCUGUGUAAAUAACACAUCUCGCAACCUAUGUAAGUUAUCUGCGGCUUAUAGUCCAGUGCGGCUAAUAUAUGGCAAAUAUUUUUUUCAUUAAAAAUUUUGUGAGUGCGGAUUAUAUACUGCUCUGUACUCUCUAUAAUUAUAUGCUUUUAUUUGUAAUUGUAUUGAGUUUGUGGACCCCGGGAAAACUAGUGGGUUGUUGUGGCAACCAG
Molecule: long non-coding RNA, 634 nt
Organism: Nerophis ophidion (straightnose pipefish)
Lineage: Eukaryota; Metazoa; Chordata; Actinopteri; Syngnathiformes; Syngnathidae
Exons: 3
Source: RefSeq, a predicted model, not a curated record